AUUGAACGCUGGCGGCAGGCCUAACACAUGCAAGUCGGACGGUAGCACAGAGGAGCUUGCUCCUCGGGUGACGAGUGGCGGACGGGUGAGUAAUGUCUGGGGAUCUGCCCGAUAGAGGGGGAUAACCACUGGAAACGGUGGCUAAUACCGCAUAACGUCGCAAGACCGAAGAGGGGGACCUUCGGGCCUCUCACUACCGGAUGAACCCAGAUGGGAUUAGCUAGUAGGCGGGGUAAUGGCCCACCUAGGCGACGAUCCCUAGCUGGUCUGAGAGGAUGACCAGCCACACUGGAACUGAGACACGGUCCAGACUCCUACGGGAGGCAGCAGUGGGGAAUAUUGCACAAUGGGCGCAAGCCUGAUGCAGCCAUGACGCGUGUAUGAAGAAGGCCUUCGGGUUGUAAAGUACUUUCAGCGGGGAGGAAGGCGGUGAGGUUAAUAACCUCGCCGAUUGACGUUACCCGCAGAAGAAGCACCGGCUAACUCCGUGCCAGCCGCCGCCGUAA
RNAcentral lists this ribosomal RNA (506 nucleotides) under uncultured bacterium. RNAcentral describes it as "partial 16S ribosomal RNA". It matches the Rfam family "Bacterial small subunit ribosomal RNA", at positions 29 to 523 of the family's 1533-position model. The record is from RNAcentral.